This 76-nucleotide transfer RNA is filed under the name Holosporales bacterium. RNAcentral's name for it is "tRNA-Thr". It matches the Rfam family "tRNA". Rfam says of the family: Transfer RNA (tRNA) molecules are approximately 80 nucleotides in length. The record is from RNAcentral. Lineage: Bacteria; Pseudomonadati; Pseudomonadota; Alphaproteobacteria; Holosporales.
GCCGAAGUAGCUCAGCUGGUAGAGCAACUGAUUCGUAAUCAGUAGGUAGCGGGUUCGAAUCCCGCCUUCGGCACCA